UACAGAGGGUGCGAGCGUUGUCCGGAAUCACUGGGCGUAAAGGGCGCGCAGGCGGCUUUGUUUGUCAGGCGUGAAAGCCCCGGGCUUAACCUGGGAACUGCGUUUGAUACGGCAGGGCUAGAGUUCGGGAGAGGAGAGUGGAAUUCCCAGUGUAGAGGUGAAAUUCGUAGAUAUUGGGAAGAACACCGGUGGCGAAGGCGGCUCUCUGGACCGAUACUGACGCUGAGGCGCGAAAGCGUGGGGAGCAAACAGG
RNAcentral lists this ribosomal RNA (253 nucleotides) under uncultured bacterium. Its description in RNAcentral is "partial 16S ribosomal RNA". It matches the Rfam family "Bacterial small subunit ribosomal RNA", at positions 524 to 776 of the family's 1533-position model. The record is from RNAcentral.